AACCCAUGGUGAAGGCACAUUCUCAAAAGGUCCUUGUAUCUCUCCCACGCAUCGUAGAGUGUUUCUAAAUUCAUCUGCGUAAAAGAAGAGAUAUCAUUACGUAAUUU
Molecule: non-coding RNA, 107 nt
Organism: Gossypium arboreum
Lineage: Eukaryota; Viridiplantae; Streptophyta; Magnoliopsida; Malvales; Malvaceae
Source: Rfam